GACGAACCGUGCGAACGCUGUUCGGAAUCACUGGGCUUAAAGGGCGCGUAGGCGGGCUGCCAAGUCUGGGGUGAAAUCCCACGGCUCAACCGUGGAACUGCCUCGGAUACUGGCGGCCUCGAGGGAGGUAGGGGCGUGCGGAACUGUGGGUGGAGCGGUGAAAUGCGUUGAUAUCCACAGGAACUCCGGUGGCGAAGGCGGCACGCUGGACCUCUUCUGACGCUGAGGCGCGAAAGCCAGGGGAGCAAACGGG
Molecule: ribosomal RNA, 253 nt
Filed under: uncultured bacterium
Lineage: Bacteria
Description: partial 16S ribosomal RNA
Rfam family: Bacterial small subunit ribosomal RNA
Source: RNAcentral